Molecule: ribosomal RNA, 487 nt
Filed under: uncultured bacterium
Lineage: Bacteria
Description: bacterial SSU rRNA
Rfam family: Bacterial small subunit ribosomal RNA
Source: RNAcentral
GACGAACGCUGGCGGCGUGCCUAACACAUGCAAGUCGAGCGAAUGAAGUUCCUUCGGGAACGGAUUUAGCGGCGGACGGGUGAGUAACACGUGGGCAACCUGCCUCAUAGAGGGGAAUAGCCUUCCGAAAGGGAGAUUAAUACCGCAUAAGAUUGUAGUACCGCAUGGUACAGCAAUUAAAGGAGCAAUCCGCUAUGAGAUGGGCCCGCGGCGCAUUAGCUAGUUGGUGAGGUAACGGCUCACCAAGGCGACGAUGCGUAGCCGACCUGAGAGGGUGAUCGGCCACAUUGGGACUGAGACACGGCCCAGACUCCUACGGGAGGCAGCAGUGGGGAAUAUUGCACAAUGGGGGAAACCCUGAUGCAGCAACGCCGCGUGAGUGAUGACGGCCUCGGUUGUAAGCUCUGUCUUCUAGGACGGAUAAUGACGGUACCUGAGGAGGAAGCCACGGCUAACUACGUGCCAGCAGCCGCGGUAAUGAGUAGUA